RNAcentral lists this ribosomal RNA (468 nucleotides) under uncultured bacterium. RNAcentral's name for it is "partial 16S ribosomal RNA". It matches the Rfam family "Bacterial small subunit ribosomal RNA", at positions 28 to 507 of the family's 1533-position model. The record is from RNAcentral.
GACGAACGCUGGCGGCGUGCUUAACACAUGCAAGUCGAACGGAAAGGCCCUGCUUUUGUGGGGUGCUCGAGUGGCGAACGGGUGAGUAACACGUGAGUAACCUGCCCUUGACUUUGGGAUAACUUCAGGAAACUGGGGCUAAUACCGGAUAGGAGCUCCUGCUGCAUGGUGGGGGUUGGAAAGUUUCGGCGGUUGGGGAUGGACUCGCGGCUUAUCAGCUUGUUGGUGGGGUAGUGGCUUACCAAGGCUUUGACGGGUAGCCGGCCUGAGAGGGUGACCGGCCAAAUUGGGAAUGGGAAAAGGGCAAAACUCCUACGGGGGGAAGGAGGGGGGAAUAUUGCACAAUGGGCGGAAGCCUGAUGCAGCAACGCCGCGUGCGGGAUGACGGCCUUCGGGUUGUAAACCGCUUUCGCCUGUGACGAAGCGUGAGUGACGGUAAUGGGUAAAGAAGCACCGGCUAACUACGUG